RNAcentral lists this ribosomal RNA (303 nucleotides) under uncultured bacterium. RNAcentral describes it as "partial 16S ribosomal RNA". It matches the Rfam family "Bacterial small subunit ribosomal RNA", at positions 507 to 809 of the family's 1533-position model. The record is from RNAcentral.
AGCAGCAGCCGCGGUAAUACAGAGGGUGCGAGCGUUAAUCGGAUUUACUGGGCGUAAAGCGUGCGUAGGCGGCUUCUUAAGUCGGAUGUGAAAUCCCUGAGCUUAACUUAGGAAUUGCAUUCGAUACUGGGAAGCUAGAGUUUGGGAGAGGAUGGUAGAAUUCCAGGUGUAGCGGUGAAAUGCGUAGAGAUCUGGAGGAAUACCGAUGGCGAAGGCAGCCAUCUGGCCUAAUACUGACGCUGAGGUACGAAAGCAUGGGGAGCAAACAGGAUUAGAUACCCCGGUAGUCCCUGUCUCUUAUAA